Molecule: ribosomal RNA, 253 nt
Filed under: uncultured bacterium
Lineage: Bacteria
Description: partial 16S ribosomal RNA
Rfam family: Bacterial small subunit ribosomal RNA
Source: RNAcentral
UACGUAGGGUGCGAGCGUUAAUCGGAAUUACUGGGCGUAAAGCGUGCGCAGGCGGUUUUGUAAGCCAGAUGUGAAAGCCCCGGGCUUAACCUGGGAAUGGCAUUUGGGACUGCAAGGCUUGAGUGCGGCAGAGGAGACUGGAAUUCCUGGUGUAGCAGUGAAAUGCGCAGAUAUCAGGAGGAACACCGAUGGCGAAGGCAGGUCUCUGGGCAUUAACUGACGCUGAGGAGCGAAAGCAUGGGGAGCGAACAGG